UGAACGCUGGCGGCGUGCCUAAUACAUGCAAGUCGAGCGAACAGAUGAGGAGCUUGCUCCUCUGACGUUAGCGGCGGACGGGUGAGUAACACGUGGAUAACCUACCUAUAAGACUGGGAUAACUUCGGGAAACCGGAGCUAAUACCGGAUAAUAUAUUUAACCGCAUGGUUCCAUAGUGAAAGACGGUUUUGCUGUCACUUAUAGAUGGAUCCGCGCCGCAUUAGCUAGUUGGUAAGGUAACGGCUUACCAAGGCAACGAUGCGUAGCCGACCUGAGAGGGUGAUCGGCCACACUGGAACUGAGACACGGUCCAGACUCCUACGGGAGGCAGCAGUAGGGAAUCUUCCGCAAUGGGCGAAAGCCUGACGGAGCAACGCCGCGUGAGUGAUGAAGGUCUUCGGAUCGUAAAACUCUGUUAUUAGGGAAGAACAAAUGUGUAAGUAACUAUGCACGUCUUGACGGUACCUAAUCAGAAAGCCACGGCUAACUACGUG
Molecule: ribosomal RNA, 495 nt
Filed under: uncultured bacterium
Lineage: Bacteria
Description: partial 16S ribosomal RNA
Rfam family: Bacterial small subunit ribosomal RNA
Source: RNAcentral